UAGCAUGGGCAGGCGUUGUAACUGGCCUUCCGAGGCAUGUGCACGCCCUGCUCAUCCACUCUACACCUGUGCACUUACUGUGGGUAUCAGAUCGUGAAGCGUGCUCUUUUACCGGAGCUUGUGAAGCGUGUCUGUGCCUGCGUUUAUCACAAACACUAUAAAGUAUCAGAAUGUGUAUUACGAUGUAACGCAUCUAUAUACAACUUUCAGCAACGGAUCUCUUGGCUCUCGCAUCGAUGAAGAACGCAGCGAAAUGCGAUAAGUAAUGUGAAUUGCAGAAUUCAGUGAAUCAUCGAAUCUUUGAACGCACCUUGCGCUCCUUGGUAUUCCGAGGAGCAUGCCUGUUUGAGUGUCAUGAAAUCUUCAACCUAUAAGCUUUUGUGGUUUGUAGGCUUGGACUUGGAGGCUUGUCGGCCUUGAUCGGUCGGCUCCUCUUAAAUGCAUUAGCUUGAUUCCUUGCGGAUCGGCUCUCGGUGUGAUAAUAUCUACGCCGCGACCGUGAAGCGUUUGGCGAGCUUCUAACCGUCUCACUUGAGAGACAACUUUAUGACCUCUGACCUCAAAUCAGGUAGGACUACCCGCUGAACUUAAGCAUAUCAAUAAGCGGAGGAA
RNAcentral lists this ribosomal RNA (612 nucleotides) under Ganoderma applanatum. RNAcentral's name for it is "eukaryotic LSU rRNA". The stretch from base 202 to 355 matches the Rfam family "5.8S ribosomal RNA". Lineage: Eukaryota; Fungi; Basidiomycota; Agaricomycetes; Polyporales; Polyporaceae. The record is from RNAcentral.